This 226-nucleotide long non-coding RNA is filed under the name Elaeis guineensis (African oil palm). Its description in RNAcentral is "long non-coding RNA (EGUI_LNC034236)". Lineage: Eukaryota; Viridiplantae; Streptophyta; Magnoliopsida; Arecales; Arecaceae. The record is from RNAcentral.
GGAGGAUACUAAAGAAUUGCUUGUGUCUUGCUAGGUUUAAAUUUGUUUACAAAGAAGAAACUAGUGUUUCGCCAUAUUUUGUCUGUUCGAUGACGUGUCCAAUAUACAAAAACAUAGUAGGCAUAUGACACCAUGAUCUAGCCACCUGGACCACACAGCUCGGGUAGCGGCACAAGGCCCCUUUGAUAGCUCCACAGGCUUCAGUCCUAGUCCGAUCCCCCUAGCA